This 305-nucleotide ribosomal RNA is filed under the name uncultured bacterium. RNAcentral describes it as "bacterial SSU rRNA". It matches the Rfam family "Bacterial small subunit ribosomal RNA", at positions 332 to 635 of the family's 1533-position model. The record is from RNAcentral.
CUAACCUACGGGACGCAGCAGUGAGGAAUAUUGGUCAAUGGGCGGGAGCCUGAACCAGCCAAGUCGCGUGAGGGAAGACGGUCCUACGGAUUGUAAACCUCUUUUGCCGGGGAGCAACGGGGUCCUUGCGAGGGCCCGAUGAGAGUACCCGGAGAAAAAGCAUCGGCUAACUCCGUGCCAGCAGCCGCGGUAAUACGUAGGGGGCAAGCGUUAUCCGGAUUUACUGGGUGUAAAGGGAGCGUAGGCGGCGAUGCAAGUCAGAAGUGAAAGCCCGGGGCUCAACUCCGGGACUGCUUUUGAAACUG